This 700-nucleotide ribosomal RNA is filed under the name Salimicrobium luteum. RNAcentral describes it as "bacterial SSU rRNA". It matches the Rfam family "Bacterial small subunit ribosomal RNA", at positions 49 to 735 of the family's 1533-position model. The record is from RNAcentral. Lineage: Bacteria; Bacillati; Bacillota; Bacilli; Caryophanales; Bacillaceae.
GGAAGCGAGUGGAAGUCCUUCGGGACGGAUACUCGUGGAACGAGCGGCGGACGGGUGAGUAACACGUGGGCAACCUACCUGUAAGACCGGAAUAACCCCGGGAAACCGGGGCUAAUGCCGGGUAACCAUUCGGUUCUCCUGAACCGAAUGUAAAAGGAUGGCUUCUUGCUAUCGCUUACAGAUGGGCCCGCGGCGCAUUAGCUAGUUGGUAAGGUAACGGCUUACCAAGGCGACGAUGCGUAGCCGACCUGAGAGGGUGAUCGGCCACACUGGGACUGAGACACGGCCCAGACUCCUACGGGAGGCAGCAGUAGGGAAUCUUCCGCAAUGGACGAAAGUCUGACGGAGCAACGCCGCGUGAACGAUGAAGGUCUUCGGAUCGUAAAGUUCUGUUGUGAGGGAAGAACAAGGAUCGUGCGAACAGAACGGUCCCUUGACGGUACCUCACGAGGAAGCCCCGGCUAACUACGUGCCAGCAGCCGCGGUAAUACGUAGGGGGCAAGCGUUGUCCGGAAUUAUUGGGCGUAAAGCGCACGCAGGCGGUUCCUUAAGUCUGAUGUGAAAGCCCGUGGCUCAACCACGGAGGGCCAUUGGAAACUGGGGAACUUGAGAACUGAAGAGGAGAGUGGAAUUCCACGUGUAGCGGUGAAAUGCGUAGAUAUGUGGAGGAACACCAGUGGCGAAGGCGACUCUCUGGUCG